This 319-nucleotide ribosomal RNA is filed under the name uncultured bacterium. Its description in RNAcentral is "bacterial SSU rRNA". It matches the Rfam family "Bacterial small subunit ribosomal RNA", at positions 28 to 334 of the family's 1533-position model. The record is from RNAcentral.
GAUGAACGCUAGCUACAGGCUUAACACAUGCAAGUCGCGGGGCAGCAUGGAUGUCCUUUCGGGGACAUCUGAUGGCGACCGGCGCACGGGUGAGUAACGCGUAUCCAACCUGCCCUUUACUAUGGGACAGCCCGUCGAAAGGCGGAUUAAUACCGUAUGUUGUCAUGUUGAUGCAUAUUUUCAUGACCAAAGGCUUCGGCCGGUAAAGGAUGGGGAUGCGUCUGAUUAGCUUGCCGGCGGGGUAACGGCCCACCGGGGCGACGAUCAGUAGGGGUUCUGAGAGGAAGGUCCCCCACAUUGGAACUGAGACACGGUCCAA